GCUGGGCGUGGUGGCACACACCUGUAAUCCCAGCUACUUUGGAGGCUGAGGCAGGAGAAUCACUUGAACCCAGGAGGCAGAGGUUGCAGUGAGCCAAGAUUGUGCCACUGCACUCCAGCCUGGGUGACAGAGUGAGACUCCGUCUCAA
RNAcentral lists this non-coding RNA (148 nucleotides) under Pongo abelii (Sumatran orangutan). The record is from Rfam by way of RNAcentral. Lineage: Eukaryota; Metazoa; Chordata; Mammalia; Primates; Hominidae.